AGCCUUGUGGUGUAUAACAUGUUGGAUUGCAAAUCCAAAGAUGUAGGUUGAUUGCCUGCCGGGGCUU
Molecule: transfer RNA, 67 nt
Filed under: Wallago attu
Lineage: Eukaryota; Metazoa; Chordata; Actinopteri; Siluriformes; Siluridae
Description: tRNA-Cys
Rfam family: tRNA
About the family: Transfer RNA (tRNA) molecules are approximately 80 nucleotides in length. Their secondary structure includes four short double-helical elements and three loops (D, anti-codon, and T loops). Further hydrogen bonds mediate the characteristic L-shaped molecular structure. tRNAs have two regions of fundamental functional importance: the anti-codon, which is responsible for specific mRNA codon recognition, and the 3' end, to which the tRNAs corresponding amino acid is attached (by aminoacyl-tRNA synthetases). tRNAs cope with the degeneracy of the genetic code in two manners: having more than one tRNA (with a specific anti-codon) for a particular amino acid; and 'wobble' base-pairing, i.e. permitting non-standard base-pairing at the 3rd anti-codon position.
Source: RNAcentral